RNAcentral lists this ribosomal RNA (253 nucleotides) under uncultured bacterium. Its description in RNAcentral is "partial 16S ribosomal RNA". It matches the Rfam family "Bacterial small subunit ribosomal RNA", at positions 524 to 776 of the family's 1533-position model. The record is from RNAcentral.
UACAGAGGUCCCAAGCGUUGUUCGGAUUCACUGGGCGUAAAGGGUGCGUAGGUGGCCAGGUAAGUUCGGUGUGAAAGCUCGGAGCUUAACUCCGAAAUGGCAUUGAAUACUAUCUGGCUAGAGGGUCGGAGGGGAGACUGGAAUUCUCGGUGUAGCAGUGAAAUGCGUAGAUAUCGAGAGGAACACCAGUGGCGAAGGCGGGUCUCUGGGCCGAUACUGACGCUGAGGAGCGAAAGCGUGGGGAGCGAACAGG